ACGCUGGCGGCGCGCCUAACACAUGCAAGUCGAACGGAGAUCAUUUGGUAGAAGUUUCGGAUGGACACCGAGUGAUCUUAGUGGCGAACGGGUGAGUAACGCGUGAGCAAUCUGGCCUCAGAGUGGGGGACAACAGUUGGAAACGACUGCUAAUACCGCAUAAGCCCACAGCACCGCAUGGUGCAGGGGGAAAAGAUUUAUUGCUUUGAGAUGAGCUCGCGUCCAAUUAGUUAGUUGGCGGGGUAACGGCCCACCAAGACGACGAUGGGUAGGGGUUCUGAGAGGAAGGUCCCCCACAUUGGAACUGAGACACGGUCCAAACUCCUACGGGAGGCAGCAGUGAGGAAUAUUGGUCAAUGGGCGGAAGCCUGAACCAGCCAAGUAGCGUGCAGGAAGACGGCCCUAUGGGUUGUAAACCUCUUUUGCCGGGGAGCAACGCUGCGGACGAGUCCGCAGGUGAGAGUACCCGGAGAAAAAGCAUCGGCUAACUCCGUG
Molecule: ribosomal RNA, 495 nt
Filed under: uncultured bacterium
Lineage: Bacteria
Description: bacterial SSU rRNA
Rfam family: Bacterial small subunit ribosomal RNA
Source: RNAcentral